CGGUAUUUAGAUUUUGCGUUUUCAUCUUCUUGAAAAGCUUUGCUGUGCUUGAUUGCAUGGUGUGGGAAUCAGGACAUUUACUUUGAGGAAUUUAGAGUGUUUCAAGCAGGUUUGUGCUGAAAUAGCCUAGCAUGGAAUAAUAACAUGGGGUCUUGGUCUUGUUUGUUGGUUUCUAGGCUGAGGAAACAAUCAAUAGGGAUAGCUGGGGGCAUUUGUACUUAACUGUCAGAGGUGAAAUUUUGGAUUUGUUAAAGACAAACUACUGCGAAAGCCUUUGUCAAGGAUGUUUUCAUUGAUCAAGAACGAAAGUUAAGGGAUCGAAGACGAUCAGAUACCGUCGUAGUCUUAACCAUAAACAAUGCCAUCUAGAGAUUGGAGGUAGUGCCAAGGAUUACUUUUCAGCAUCAUUUGAGAAAUCAAAGCUUUUGGGUUCCGGGGGGAGUAUGGUCGUAAGGCUGAAACUUAAAGGAAUUGACGGAAGGGCACCACCAGGAGUGGAGCCUGCGGCUUAAUUUGACUCAACACGGGAAAACUCACCAGAACCAGACAUAAACAGGAUUGACAGAUUGAUAGCUCUUUCUUGAUUUUAUGGGUGGUGGUGCAUGGCCGUUCUUAGUUGGUGGAGUGAUCUGUCUGGUUAAUUCCGUUAACGAACGAGACCUUGUCUUACUAAAUAGUUACAUGUAACUUUGGUUACAUGGCAGCUUCUUAGGGGGACUUUGCGAGCCUA
This 730-nucleotide ribosomal RNA is filed under the name uncultured dinoflagellate. RNAcentral describes it as "SSU rRNA". It matches the Rfam family "Eukaryotic small subunit ribosomal RNA", at positions 675 to 1432 of the family's 1831-position model. Lineage: Eukaryota; Dinophyceae. The record is from RNAcentral.